Molecule: ribosomal RNA, 666 nt
Filed under: Escherichia coli
Lineage: Bacteria; Pseudomonadati; Pseudomonadota; Gammaproteobacteria; Enterobacterales; Enterobacteriaceae
Description: bacterial SSU rRNA
Rfam family: Bacterial small subunit ribosomal RNA
Source: RNAcentral
CAUGCAGUCGAACGGUAACAGGAARAAGCUUGCUKYUUUGCUGACGAGUGGCGGACGGGUGAGUAAUGUCUGGGAAACUGCCUGAUGGAGGGGGAUAACUACUGGAAACGGUAGCUAAUACCGCAUAACGUCGCAAGACCAAAGAGGGGGACCUUCGGGCCUCUUGCCAUCGGAUGUGCCCAGAUGGGAUUAGCUUGUUGGUGGGGUAACGGCUCACCWAGGCGACGAUCCCUAGCUGGUCUGAGAGGAUGACCAGCCACACUGGAACUGAGACACGGUCCAGACUCCUACGGGAGGCAGCAGUGGGGAAUAUUGCACAAUGGGCGCAAGCCUGAUGCAGCCAUGCCGCGUGUAUGAAGAAGGCCUUCGGGUUGUAAAGUACUUUCAGCGGGGAGGAAGGGAGUAAAGUUAAUACCUUURCUCAUUGACGUUACCCGCAGAAGAAGCACCGGCUAACUCCGUGCCAGCAGCCGCGGUAAUACGGAGGGUGCAAGCGUUAAUCGGAAUUACUGGGCGUAAAGCGCACGCAGGCGGUUUGUUAAGUCAGAUGUGAAAUCCCCGGGCUCAACCUGGGAACUGCAUCUGAUACUGGCAAGCUUGAGUCUCGUAGAGGGGGGUAGAAUUCCAGGUGUAGCGGUGAAAUGCGUAGAGAUCUGGAGGAAUACC